Molecule: long non-coding RNA, 247 nt
Organism: Saccostrea echinata
Lineage: Eukaryota; Metazoa; Mollusca; Bivalvia; Ostreida; Ostreidae
Exons: 3
Source: RefSeq, a predicted model, not a curated record
GAAAGGAUGAGGCAGCUGAAACUUUUGUCCAUUAUCCUGGUUUUUGGACUUUUGUUUGCGACUUGUUCUGAAGGACAAGGCAUAUAUCCUGGAAAUUGUCCACCAGUAUGUAGGAAUUAUUGUCCGUUUGGCAGAGUGUAUGUCGAUGGAUGUCCAACUUGCACAUGUAUAAUACCCGGAAAUAAUGACCUACCAGAUUGGAUACGAUAGAACUUUGUACUGAAAGCAAAUAAAGAAUAUCAUGCUC